AUUGCAGGGGAGCGUGCCGGAAGGCAGGCUGAGAGGAAGCUAGGCUUUGACCCUUUGACCUGAUGCGGAUAAUGCCGCCGUAGGGAGUCU
This 90-nucleotide non-coding RNA is filed under the name bovine gut metagenome. Its description in RNAcentral is "TPP riboswitch (THI element)". It matches the Rfam family "TPP riboswitch aptamer (THI element)", at positions 10 to 89 of the family's 105-position model. From Rfam's summary of the family: Vitamin B(1) in its active form thiamin pyrophosphate (TPP) is an essential coenzyme that is synthesised by coupling of pyrimidine and thiazole moieties in bacteria. The record is from RNAcentral.